Camelus ferus (Wild Bactrian camel) is the source of this 73-nucleotide transfer RNA. It matches the Rfam family "tRNA". Rfam says of the family: Transfer RNA (tRNA) molecules are approximately 80 nucleotides in length. Their secondary structure includes four short double-helical elements and three loops (D, anti-codon, and T loops). Further hydrogen bonds mediate the characteristic L-shaped molecular structure. tRNAs have two regions of fundamental functional importance: the anti-codon, which is responsible for specific mRNA codon recognition, and the 3' end, to which the tRNAs corresponding amino acid is attached (by aminoacyl-tRNA synthetases). tRNAs cope with the degeneracy of the genetic code in two manners: having more than one tRNA (with a specific anti-codon) for a particular amino acid; and 'wobble' base-pairing, i.e. permitting non-standard base-pairing at the 3rd anti-codon position. NCBI's taxonomy places the organism in Eukaryota, Metazoa, Chordata, Mammalia, Artiodactyla, Camelidae. The record is from Rfam.
GAGGGUAUAGCUCAAGCAGUAGAGCAUGUGCUUAUCACACGUGAGGUCCUGGGUUCAAUCCCUAGUACCUCCU